AGACUGGUAGGUUAAAUAUAGACUAAGGGGUUCAUGAUCCCUGGGUAUACUCAUGUAAGUAUCUAGUUGA
Molecule: transfer RNA, 70 nt
Filed under: Dipylidium caninum
Lineage: Eukaryota; Metazoa; Platyhelminthes; Cestoda; Cyclophyllidea; Dipylidiidae
Description: tRNA-Met
Source: RNAcentral